CAACUUCCACCUGGCAUACCUCUUCAAUCAUACGUUAAAGGCUUGUAUCGCUUGUAAUGUAUUGUGGGUUUUCUGUGUUGUAUACCGAACUAACGGAAUUGUUUUGAUUGAGUAGAGUACCUUUUUGUCAUGUGGUGUGCUUAUCUCACUUGGCGAACCUUGAAGUCAUCUCUACGAUCCCUCUUGUUGACACAUAUGUGACAAUGAUUUGGCUCGUUGAUAUUAGCUUGGUAUCUUGGAUAUGGAACACAAUGUGAGCAUGAGUUAUCUUUUGGUUCUUGUUUUGCUCUUUGUUUUGUGUUCUCUAGUACGACAGUUCAUAUACGUACUGGCUUGUUCAUGCGUGAUGUUCUAUGUCGAAAAGGAAUGCUACCUGGUUGAUCCUGCCAGUAGUCAUAUGCUUGUCUCAAAGAUUAAGCCAUGCAUGUGUAAGUA
RNAcentral lists this unclassified non-coding RNA (435 nucleotides) under Crocidium multicaule. RNAcentral describes it as "partial contains external transcribed spacer and 18S ribosomal RNA". The stretch from base 371 to 435 matches the Rfam family "Eukaryotic small subunit ribosomal RNA", at positions 1 to 65 of the family's 1831-position model. Lineage: Eukaryota; Viridiplantae; Streptophyta; Magnoliopsida; Asterales; Asteraceae. The record is from RNAcentral.